This 127-nucleotide ribosomal RNA is filed under the name uncultured bacterium. Its description in RNAcentral is "partial 16S ribosomal RNA". The record is from RNAcentral.
UUAGCCGGUGCUUCCUUUGUGGGUACCGUCACUAUCUUCCCCACUGACAGAUCUUUACAUCCCGAAAGACUUCAUCAAUCACGAGGCGUCGCUGCGUCAGAGUUUCCUCCAUUGCGCAAAAUUCCUC